Molecule: transfer RNA, 65 nt
Filed under: Aphis citricidus (brown citrus aphid)
Lineage: Eukaryota; Metazoa; Arthropoda; Insecta; Hemiptera; Aphididae
Description: tRNA-Phe
Rfam family: tRNA
About the family: Transfer RNA (tRNA) molecules are approximately 80 nucleotides in length. Their secondary structure includes four short double-helical elements and three loops (D, anti-codon, and T loops).
Source: RNAcentral
AUUUAAAUAGCUUAAAUUAGAGCAUUAUAUUGAAGAUAUAAAGGUAAAUUUAAUUUUUUUAAAUA